ACAUUUAAGGUUAAUAUUGUUAUGUGUGAAUUUGAUCCUGUCAUUAUGAUGUAUUUUAAUUACACAAUUAGUUCAUGAUUACAUUCUAAGAAAAAUCAAAUACAAUACAAAGUGAAAGCCUCAUUCAUUAAAUUUUCUGUCUAUCAUGAGUGGAUACAGUCUUGUUUCCCAAAUUCAGUGUCUUCAUGCUGUAGGGGUUGGAGUUGACCGUGAGUGGCUCAUCUUUUGGGCGUGGGACUGUCUGAACUUUUUGGGUCUCUUGGGGCUUCCAAGGAACCGUGUGCGUCUCCUCAUUCCCCGACCUGCUUGAGGCAAACACCUACUGGAGUCCCUCAACUCUUCCUCGGCUUGCUGUAACUGGUGUCCCACA
This 370-nucleotide long non-coding RNA is filed under the name Homo sapiens (human). RNAcentral describes it as "non-protein coding lnc-TSPAN14-3:2". Lineage: Eukaryota; Metazoa; Chordata; Mammalia; Primates; Hominidae. The record is from RNAcentral.